Long non-coding RNA from Sphaerodactylus townsendi, 1383 nucleotides. RefSeq lists it as uncharacterized. NCBI's taxonomy places the organism in Eukaryota, Metazoa, Chordata, Lepidosauria, Squamata, Sphaerodactylidae. The transcript is spliced from 3 exons. The record is from RefSeq and is a predicted model, not a curated record.
ACUCUUGGCUCCGGGUCUCUGCGCUCCUCCUUCUUUCUGUGGGGCGGCUGCGGUGCCCCCUCCUGAUAAGGAACCCUCCGUGCCUCCCUUCCUCCCUCCCGCCUCUCCUCCGGGGGCGGCGGUGGGGGGGGGGGCGAGAGGCCAGCCUCCUCGGGCAAGGGGCAGGGACAAGGACGUAGGCCCGGGCCAAACUCUCCCCCGGCAUCACGUUCACGUUGGCUGGAGGCUUUGUGGAAAUCCACCAGGGCCUACGCCUUGGACCCCUGGAGGUGGUGCAGCAGGUGGGAAUGGGUGGCCUGGCAGAUCUUACAGAGGGUUGCUUGCAGAGGAGUCCAUGGACAGACCAUCGACACCUGCCAGGCUUCAGGUUUUGUGCCAAAAAGCGGAGGACCAGUCUUGUUUUUCUGGGGCUGCCCUGAUCCCUGGGGUCAUAUCUCUAAAUGUCUGAGCCCUUCAUGCACAAGGCCCCAUUUCACACCCUGACAUCUCCAAGGAAAUGAUCCAGCAGUAGAUGAGCAUCCUGGGACCAAGAUGGGUUCCCUUAGUUUAACUACCUGUCAUUUCUGGGUGCCUCGGGCCCAACAUGGCAAGAUGCUGUGUGUCUCUGUGUGUGGGAGAAGCAGCACCAUCCAGCCCUGACCAGAACAUCAUUUCCGUUGCUUAUCAUGCAGAGAUCCCUCUGACCCUAAGCUAGGAUGGACUCAGCACAAGAGGAAGAAGUUCCUUGUUGUUCCAGUAUCUGACACAAGCCACGGAGGAUUCGGUUUUUCCCUGGGGACACCACUUCAUCCAUGCAGAAGUCCCAACCAUUACAAGAAAACUAUUGUGGGACUUUAAACAGCUGCAGCUUUGCGUUGAACCGGUAUAAUAUGGAUAAGCAUCAGCUUCGAAAGGGGGCUGCCUGUUUUCACCUGUUCUUUUUUCCCUCGCUCAGCCUGAAUGCUUGGACAGACCACUAUUCUUUUUAUUCACGUUUUAAACUUCCUUCUAUUUCAAAUGCUGAUCUCUGGGAACCCACCCCACCUAUGUGGUCUUGCCACCUGCAUUGUGGUCAUGUGGAGGGACAGUGGGGAGGCUCACCAUCCCUGGAGCAGGGCAGCUACGAUGACGUUGCAAGGGAUCACCCCCUUUGGAGCUCCUGGACAAAAUUGGGCAUGUACUGUGGCUGGAUGGAACCUAUAUACAGCAGUGCAGGUGGCAUGCUAAAUGCACAACCCCAUUUAGCAAGAGACAUACUCUGAGUCACUGGUGGCAGCUGGGGAUCCCAGUUCGAUUUCGAAUACCUUUAAUGGCAUAUAAAUUGUUUAAAAUUAGCUUAGCAAGAUAAUAACAGCCUUUACAACUUUACAAUUUCUGACGAGUUAAAAUAACACCAUUAAAAAA